UUUGGAAUAUCUAAUAGUCUAACUCCAGAAUAUCUAACAAGAAAGAAAACAAAUACAGAAGGGCAAUGUUUAACAGCUAGAAUAGAAAGGGACUUAUCGUUCUGGGAACGCGGCAGAUGUACCUCGAAGUCUCUAGCAAUAGCUUCCCUCAAGGAUAGUAGGCCUGAGUAUGGUACCUGGAUCUGCACAUGAAAAAUAUGCCCAUAAAGGGGCAUGAGUACACCACAGCGAUACUUAGUAAAUGCCAAGCAUAACCUUAGUCAGGUAGUGAUGAGGAAGGUCAGGGCCCUACUGAGAUUAAACAAAAAUAUAAAGUUCGACUGUAUAGAAUAUAACAGUAUAAUGAAAUACGGCAGUGACAGUAAUAUAUGAUAUAAAAGACAAUAAUAACUAUACAGAAGCGAGGUAAACAUGGAAAGAAAGUAUACCUCAGCACCAAUAAUACCGAUCGGGAUCUCAGGAUACCGUCCUGUAGUCCCAAAUACACAUAUCCGAUAAGUCUCCCGGGAUACCGUCCUGUAGCCCAACUCAUAUUGCGCAGGGAUCUACCGGAAUCUCAUUCCUUAGUUCCAAAUGUAAAUACCCAGUAAUGGGGAAAUCUACCAGGUAUUCCCAUAUUUUUAUAUAACUAUGCAGGGGGAUCUACCAAAAUCCGACAUCCGUAGUCCCAAAAUAAACAGAUAAGGGGGAUCUAUCGGAAUCCCACAUCCAUAGUCACAAUAUAAAUACACAUCAGCAGCAAGAAAAUACCCCCCUUAACUUUACUAAAAGGGCCAAAUAUAACCCUCAUUAAAAGUUUGGUCCAUCCACAAAUCGAACGUUACAUUAAUUGCCCAUAUACCCCCGCAUUUUAAUCGACAGUAAAUACCCCCUGAAACCCUCAUUUUUUUAACAAAAUAUUUUUUUGUUUGUAAAAAAAUGAAAAUAUUUUGUUGAAAAUGAUUUCUUUAGUUCUUAAAAAAACGAAAAUAUCUUGCAAAAAAUGAUUUUUUCCCUGUUUUUACAACAACAAAAAAAGUUUUUACAUAAUUUAUUUUUCCAGUUUCUUAAAAAACAUCUUUAAAAUAAACUGAAAAAUGAAGGAAAAAAAAUAUUUUUCAAAAGAGGAAAUAAUUUGUUGAAAAUAUUUUAUUCAGAUGACUAACUCACAAAAAGAAUUCCAGACACAAAGUUGCAAUCGCC
RNAcentral lists this long non-coding RNA (1182 nucleotides) under Nicotiana benthamiana. Its description in RNAcentral is "long non-coding RNA (NBEN_LNC038643)". The record is from RNAcentral. Lineage: Eukaryota; Viridiplantae; Streptophyta; Magnoliopsida; Solanales; Solanaceae.